GUAGGUGGCAAGCGUUGUCCGGAAUUAUUGGGCGUAAAGCGCGCGCAGGCGGUUCUUUAAGUCUGAUGUGAAAGCCCACGGGCUCAACCGUGGAGGGUCAUUGGAAACUGGAGAACUUGAGUACAGAAGAGGAAGGCGGAAUUCCACGUGUAGCGGUGAAAUGCGUAGAGAUGUGGAGGAACACCAGUGGCGAAGGCGGCUUUCUGGUCUGUAACUGACGCUGAGGCGCGAAAGCGUGGGGAGCAAACAGGAUUAGAUACCCUGGUAGUCCACGCCGUAAACGAUGAGUGCUAAGUGUUAGGGGGUUUCCGCCCCUUAGUGCUGCAGCUAACGCAUUAAGCACUCCGCCUGGGGAGUACGGCCGCAAGGCUG
RNAcentral lists this ribosomal RNA (372 nucleotides) under uncultured organism. RNAcentral's name for it is "partial 16S ribosomal RNA". It matches the Rfam family "Bacterial small subunit ribosomal RNA", at positions 527 to 896 of the family's 1533-position model. The record is from RNAcentral.